Triticum aestivum (bread wheat) is the source of this 2551-nucleotide RNA transcript. It is a transcript of the gene named arginine decarboxylase, with no coding region annotated. Lineage: Eukaryota; Viridiplantae; Streptophyta; Magnoliopsida; Poales; Poaceae. The transcript is spliced from 3 exons. The record is from RefSeq and is a predicted model, not a curated record.
CGUCACUCUGCUUCGACCACGCGCAGACGACCAUGUCCAUGCUUCUUCUUCCUCCCAGCAGCAGCAGAAGCAUGGCGCCUCCUCCGGCCCUCCGCUCCCCGCGCGCGCCUAUCUCUCCACGGACGGAAUCACCCAGACGACAUGCCAUAGCACGGUGUGACACUUCACGGACCACGCCAAGAAUAUCUGAAACUGAACCUACGCUUGCUCAACCUUCAGCACCUGUCCAAGGUGCUACCGCCCCUCUGGUUCAGGCACUGAAAUCAACUGCAGCCCAAGACGUGUCCUGUUUUCACUUCCCUGGACACAACCAAGGGAAAGCUGCUCCUUCUUCGAUGUUGGACCUUAUUGGCGCGGGCGCGUUUUCACAUGACUUGCCCGAGCUACCCGAACUCGACGACCUCUUCUACCCUAAUGGUGUGAUUUUGGAUGCUCAGAACCAGGCAGCUCAACUCUUUGGGUCAUCUAAAACAUGGUUCCUGGUCAAUGGGAGUACCUGCGGAAUCCAGGCCGCGGUGAUGGCCACCUGCUGCCCUGGUGACUACAUUGUUGUGCCUCGAAACUGUCACAUCUCAGUGAUCUCUGCCCUGGUUCUGUCCGGUGCUGUGCCUAAGUAUAUAGUACCAGAGUACAAUUCUGCAUGGGACAUUGCUGGUGGUAUUACGCCGUCACAGGUGGAUAAAGCACUGAAGGAGCUUGAGAAGGAUGACAAGAAAGUAGGUGCUGUUCUUGUUACUUCGCCGACCUACCAUGGCAUAUGCAGCGAUGUGCAAUGUAUCGUCGAUGUUUGCCAUCCUUUACACAUUCCGGUUAUAGUUGAUGAGGCUCAUGGUGCGCACUUCAGGUUCCAUCACAGUUUUCCAAGCACGGCGAUAGAGCAAGGUGCUGACUUAGCUGUGCAAUCCACGCACAAGGUUCUGAACUCUCUUACACAGUCCUCGAUGCUUCACAUGGCUGGAGGUCUGGUUGAUGCAGAUAAAGUGAGCCAAUGCCUCCAGUUGCUCCAGAGCUCAAGCCCAAGUUACCUCCUACUGUCAUCAUUAGAUGCUGCAAGAGCUCAGUUGAGCGAGAACGCUAAAUCUUUUGAUGAACCGGUGGCUAUGGCUUUAGAAACAAGAGAUCAGCUGAUGGUAAUCCCGGGGUUAUCUGUCCUGGACUUGUCAUGCUUUGCUUCUGACUUCCCUGCCAUUGAUCCUUUGCGUGUCACACUAAGUGCUUCAGAUCUACAUUUAUCUGGAUACGAGGCAGAUGACAUUUUGGAAGAGCAUCAAAUUGUAUGUGAGCUUGUCGGAACACAGGCGGUGACGUUUGCAGUCAACUUAGGGACCAGAAGGCAAGAUGUUCAAAAACUUGUACAGUGUGCAAAGCAUCUCUCAGAUAAAUACAUAUCUGCAAACGAAUCGAGAUUUAGUAAGCAUAACUAUGUUUGUAGCCCAUUGGAUAAGUUCUCUGUCAAGCUGACUCCAAGAGAGGCCUUCUUUACAAAGAAAAGAAGAGUGUGCAUGGAGGACAGCCUUGGGGAGAUUUGUGGUGAGCUUAUCUGCCCGUAUCCACCAGGUAUCCCUGUGCUGAUACCCGGUGAGGUCGUAACUCAGGAUUCGCUGUCUUACUUAAUAAACGUCAGAGACCAGGGCAUGACAAUCAGUGGAGCAGCUGAUGGUGAACUCAACUCAAUCAUGGUAUGCAACUUGUGAUGAUUAUUCUGCCAUUUCAAGAUAACUAUGUGGCAGAGAUAUUUCGAUGGUUCACGGGCUCAUGAAUCAUGAUGCUUCUGUAUAGUAUGAGGGACGAUAAGCGCGCAUCAGCCCAAGCAGAGGCUUCUUUUCUGACAGAUAUGGACAAAACUCGUCUAACGGAACAACUGACUGCCUGCUUGGCCAGACAUUGAGAAUACAUCUCGUGAAGAAAGAGCUAGCUGUCAAGCUACAAGAGGAUGCCAAAAUAUAAGUAGGGUCUAUGGCAUGUGGCCUCCUGUGAGUAUGAAGCAUAAACCACUGAAGUGGCAACCUUUUCCUGUGAAGUGCCUUGGAAUAACGGCGCGCCCAAUCUGCAUCGGCUGUGACUCCGAGCUCGACUAUCCGCUGCAGUUUGUACACCUUUUCAAGGUUUUCCAGAAGUAUGUUGCAAGGUUGCCCAAGCAGGUACUCUAGCUGCUUCUGUAAGUCCCACAUCAACUCAAGAAUUCAUUAAAUAUUCCACUGAACGUGUACCGAAAGAUUGUAUCAUCUGAUGCAUCAUUGCAAAUGUAACCACCAUUUCUUUAUUUGUGCAAAAGAAGAAGAGGCUAUACUGACAAUACUUCCAAACUAAGGCCUCCACCAAAACAUGGGGCUCGAAACAGUGACUAAAGCAGUAGAUUUCGGUUGAAAGAAUUAGAUUAAGGAACUAAUCAACUCAUACCUUGCAAUCACCAACCAGGAAAGUAAUGUGAUGUUGAUGAUGAUGAUGAUGAUGAUAAUGAUGAUGCAGUUAGGUUUUAUCACGGGUUGCCUUUCUGCCAGAAACAAAGCUCACCAUAAACAAUAAGGACCUGGUAGCUAACACUCUGCCC